Oncorhynchus tshawytscha (Chinook salmon) is the source of this 605-nucleotide long non-coding RNA. RefSeq lists it as uncharacterized. The transcript is spliced from 2 exons. The record is from RefSeq and is a predicted model, not a curated record. NCBI's taxonomy places the organism in Eukaryota, Metazoa, Chordata, Actinopteri, Salmoniformes, Salmonidae.
UUUAGUGCCUUAUUGCUAACAGGAUGCAUGUUUUGGAGUAUUUGUAUUUUGUACAGGCUUCCUUCUUUUCACUGUUGAUUGUUGUGUUACAUUCACUGGACUCCCACCAAUUAAACUUCAUGUACAAUUACCAUCUAGUUUUAUUUAUGUAUUUGACAGGGACCAUGCCAAUUAAACACAUGGACCAGAUUAAAGCUAGAUUGCUUAUUCUCAUCUCCAUUCUCUCAUUUUACACCAUAAAUAACCAGAUUCACCACAAUAAAACGGAGAUGAUGCAGUUCUUCGGUUUUUCCAGGAGAGGGCCUGAGAUGCAACCUUUGUAUUGGCAAUGGCUGCAGAAACACAGUGGAAACCUGCCGUAUUGACCAUGACUCCUGCGCCACGGUCAUAUUCAAGUACCCACUUCCUAUCUUGUACUUCAAGAGAUGCAUGAAGAUGUCAGAAUGCUUGAUGCUGGGAAGCAACAAGGAUAUUGAUGCCUUUUGCUGCACCACCAACCAAUGCAACUGAGAGACACAUACUCUGUCUAACAUACUAUACAGUCCAUUUAUUGUACUAAGCUGAAUAUCACUAAUCAAUGCACAUGAUUGAAACUGUCAAGAAGU